RNAcentral lists this ribosomal RNA (324 nucleotides) under uncultured eukaryote. Its description in RNAcentral is "partial 18S ribosomal RNA". It matches the Rfam family "Eukaryotic small subunit ribosomal RNA", at positions 1470 to 1796 of the family's 1831-position model. The record is from RNAcentral.
CCCUUAGAUGUUCUGGGCUGCACGCGCGCUACACUGAAGCUAUCAACACGUUUUCCCUCCCUGAGAAGGGCGGGUAACCUUUUGAAUCAGCUUCGUGGUAGGGAUCGGGGCUUGCAAUUGUUCCCCGUGAACCAGGAAUUCCUAGUAGACGCGAGUCAUAAGCUCGCAUCGAUUAAGUCCCUGCCCUUUGUGCACACCGCCCGUCGCUACUACCGAUUGAACGUUUUAGUGAGGCAUUUGGACCGACGCAUCUCAGUUUAACCGCUGGUUUGUGUUGGAAAGACUUCCAAACUUGAGCGUUUAGAGGAAGUAAAAGUCGUAACA